Molecule: ribosomal RNA, 752 nt
Filed under: Xiphinema parabrevicolle
Lineage: Eukaryota; Metazoa; Nematoda; Enoplea; Dorylaimida; Longidoridae
Description: SSU rRNA
Rfam family: Eukaryotic small subunit ribosomal RNA
Source: RNAcentral
GCCAAAGAAUGUUUUUCAUUAAUCAAGAAACGAAAGUUAGAGGGUUCGAAAGGCGAUCAGAUACCGCCCUAGUUCUAACCGUAAAACGAUGACAACCAGCGAUUAGUCGGUGUUAAUAUACGACCCGACUAGCAGCUUCCGGGAAACCAAAGUUUUUCGUUUCCGGGGGAAGUAUGGUUGCAAAGCUGAAACUUAAAGGAAUUGACGGAAGGGCACCACCAGGAGUGGAGCCUGCGGCUUAAUUUGACUCAACACGGGAAAACUCACCCGGCCCGGACACCGUAAGGAUUGACAGACUGAGAGCUCUUUCUUAAUUCGGUGGGUGGUGGUGCAUGGCCGUUCUUAGUUGGUGGAGCGAUUUGUCUGGUUAAUUCCGAUAACGAACGAGACUCUGGCCUAUUAAAUAGUCGGUAUAUCCGGAAAAGUUUACCGUACUUCUUAGAGGGACAAACGGCGUCUAGCCGCGUGAAAUAGAGCAAUAACAGGUCUGUGAUGCCCUUAGAUGUCCGGGGCUGCACGCGCGCUACACUGAAAGAAUCAGUAUGCGCGUUUAACCUAGUCCGGAAGGAUUGGGUAACCCGAGCAAAUUCUUUCGUGCUUGGGAUAGGGAAUUGCAAUUAUUUCCCUUAAACGAGGAAUUCCCAGUAAAUGCGGGUCAUAAGCUCGCGUUGAUUACGUCCCUGCCCUUUGUACACACCGCCCGUCGCUACUACCGAUUGGAUGACUUAGUGAGGUCUUAGGACCGACGUAAA